This 200-nucleotide ribosomal RNA is filed under the name uncultured bacterium. Its description in RNAcentral is "partial 16S ribosomal RNA". It matches the Rfam family "Bacterial small subunit ribosomal RNA", at positions 29 to 258 of the family's 1533-position model. The record is from RNAcentral.
AACGAACGCUGGCGGCAGGCUUAACACAUGCAAGUCGAACGCCCCGCAAGGGGAGUGGCAGACGGGUGAGUAACGCGUGGGAAUCUACCCAGAACUUCGGAACAACUGAGGGAAACUUCAGCUAAUACCGGAUACGCCCUACGGGGGAAAGAUUUAUCGGUUCUGGAUGAGCCCGCGUUGGAUUAGCUAGUUGGUGGGGU